AUGGGGGAGGAGGAGGAGCAGAGGAACAAUGGCGGCGACGGGGGCGGGAGGAAGGGCGGGACCAACAAGUACGCGGUGGCCUGCUCCAUCAUCGGCUCCAUCAUCUCCAUCCUCAUGGGCUACGACAGCGGCGUGAUGAGCGGCGCGAUGCUGUUCAUCAAGGAGGACCUCAAGACCAACGACACGCAGCUGCAGGUGCUCGCCGGCAUCCUCAACGUCUGCGCGCUCGUGGGAUCCCUCACCGCCGGCCGCGUCUCCGACUGGGUCGGUCGCCGCCUCACCAUCUCGCUCGCCGCAUGCAUCUUCCUCGCGGGCUCCGUCCUCAUGGGCCUCGCGCCCAACUACGCCACGCUCCUAGUCGGCCGCUGCGUCGCCGGCGUCGGCGUCGGGUACGCUCUCAUGAUCGCGCCCGUCUACGCCGUCGAGAUCGCGUCGGCGGAGAUCCGCGGCUCGCUCACCUCGCUCCCCGAGAUCUGCAUCAGCUUCGGCAUCCUCAUCGGCUACGUGGCCAACUACUUCCUCGCCAAGCUGCCGCUGGUCUACGGCUGGCGCACCAUGCUGGGGCUCGGCGCGCUCCCCAGUGCCGCGCUCGCCGUCGGCGUCCUGGCCAUGCCGGAGUCGCCCCGGUGGCUCGUCAUGCAGGGCCGGGCCGAGGAGGCGCUCGUUGUUCUCCGGAAAGUCUGCAACACGGCGGAGGAGGCCGACGUGCGGCUCGCGGACAUCAAGAGCGCCGCGGGGUUCAUCGAGGGCGACGCCGCGCCCGUGCCUCGCGGCGGCGGCGAGGGCGUGAUGAAGGAGAUGUUCCUGCACCCGACGCCGGCCGUCCGUCGCAUCCUCGUGGCCGCCCUAGGCGUCCACUUCUUCCAGCAUCUGACGGGCAUCGAGGCGGUGGUGCUGUACAGCCCGCGGAUCUUCAAGGCGGCCGGCAUCGCCACCCGGAACCAGAUCCUGGCGGCGACCAUCGGCGUGGGCGUGACCAAGACGGUGUUCAUCAUGGUGGCGAUCCUGCUCGUGGACCGCGUCGGCCGGCGGCCGCUCUACCUCUCCAGCCUCGCCGGCAUCAUCGCGUCGAUGGCCUGCCUGGGCCUGGGCCUCACCGUGAUCGAGCGGUCGGCGCCACGCCACGGCGCGCCGUGGGCGGUGGCGCUGGCCAUCGCCGCGGUGUUCACCUUCGUGGCGGCCUUCUCCAUCGGCGUGGGGCCCAUCACGUGGGCCUACAGCUCGGAGGUGUACCCGCUCCGGCUGCGCGCGCAGGGCGCCAGCGUCGGCGUGGCCAUCAACCGCAUAAUGAACGCCGGCGUGUCCAUGACCUUCGUCACCCUGUACAAGGCGAUCACCAUCGGCGGCGCCUUCUUCCUCUUCGCGGGCCUGGCGGUGGUGGCCGCCGCCUUCUUCUACUUCUUCUGCCCGGAGACGCAGGGCAGGGCGCUGGAGGAGAUCGAGGAGGUGUUCAGCCGCGGGUGGCGCGCGCGGCAGAGGCAGCAGGCGCCGUCGCCGUCGUCGGUGGAGCUGCCGCCGGUGCCCGACAGCAAGGCGCGGCCGUGA
Molecule: ribosomal RNA, 1545 nt
Filed under: Triticum aestivum (bread wheat)
Lineage: Eukaryota; Viridiplantae; Streptophyta; Magnoliopsida; Poales; Poaceae
Description: partial small subunit ribosomal RNA
Source: RNAcentral